Molecule: long non-coding RNA, 2026 nt
Filed under: Salmo salar (Atlantic salmon)
Lineage: Eukaryota; Metazoa; Chordata; Actinopteri; Salmoniformes; Salmonidae
Description: lncRNA (ENSSSAG00000122248.1)
Source: RNAcentral
CUGACUCAUAUUUUCACAUCGGCCGUUUUCAAAGGGAUUAGUUGUCUUUGUUUUCAUUGUUACUCCAUCGUUGCAUGUACUCUGCACAAAGUGGCUGCUUUUUUUACAUAGAGAUCCUUUAAAAGGGUUACUUUGGGAUGUUGGCAAUAAGGGAUAAAUGAUCACUUCAACCAGGCGAGUGUCUCCUGACAAAUCUGAAGUUAGAAUCGCCUUCAGCCUUGACCAAGACUCAGAACCUUCCAUCACCCAGGAUUCUCUGCAUGUGUUCAAGACCUCCAGGGGGACAUAAGUUGGAGAUGCAACAUCCUAGUUAAAAGAUGUGGAGGAGUCGGCGCCGUCUUUCCCUGAUCUGGAACACAGACUGCAGGCGUGAGCUGCUGGCCGAGCUGGUGGAGGACGAGCUUGUUGCCGUGGAGAUGGCCUGUCUGGAGGAUGAGUUCCGUGUCCUGUCGGAGGAGAACGCCACGCUGCUCAACGUCCACACUGAGCGCGCUCAGCAACUGGAGACGCUCAGCUCCACCAAUCGGAAUCAGACCAGCCAGGACAGCUCCUCCACGUGACCCCCUGAACUCGACUCGACCCCAAGAGAUGAUGACCUCGCUCGAGACCUUCACAAACUGACGCUACGGGCCCGUAUUCCAAAACUGCUGAUCUAGGAUCAGUUCCCUUCCGUUCAUAAAUUCAUAUUUAUUAUGAUCUAAAAAUGCCAAACGGAUCCUAAAUCAGCACUCUUGCUCUGAGCCUCAACUUGGAUAUGGGCCCUGAAAACAUUACUAUCGGUGGCUGUCAAAUCCUUGCUUCCUCUGUCCUUGUUUCCUUAUCUCCUUUUCUAAGAGCAAUGGAGAAGAGGAUACAAGGUCCCUCGCUUGUUUGGACCUUCUCUUCCAAUGCACUUUGAGAGGAACUCUGAACCAGGGUUUUGGGGCCAGUUCUAUUUCAAUUCCAGCGAUGGGUUCAGAUUUCUAAACUUUUUUAAAAUAUAUUGUUAAUCAUCAGUUAUACCAGAGACAUGAGGAGUGACAUAGUCUGGUUUCUACACCAGAAGUUAAUGGGUAUCCGUAGGAGUAAUGUAUAAGGUUGGGGUCAAGGAUGUUUGAAUAGGAGCCAGGGGACAUUUGGGAGGUGCUGAGUAGAGGAGAGGCGAUCCCAUGAUUAUGGUGGAGAGCUGUGGAUUAGUAAAGAAUGUAGAGGUCAGGUCACGUCACGUUAAGGCAGAAGGAACAGUGUGUUGCCCGCAUUACUUAACUUCCCGUCUAGUGAUAAAGACGUAAUGUUUAGAGAGAAGGAGGAGACUUUGUCUUAUGCAGCUGUAUUGACCCAAUGGGUGAAUAAACUUGGUUUAAGCUUUACUAAUCACCUGUGAGUUUUACUAACAAAACAGUCGUCAAUUCAGGAAGUACACUGAAAUUCUAACUCAAAUUCUUCUUCGUUGCGUUUCAAUGAGCGGAAUUUGGUUUUCUUUCUCAAUUGACUGGAAUUGAAAUGGAAUUAAUCCCAACCCUGCUAAGGAAACAAGGACAGGGGAUGCAAGGACUUAGUAGUAGUAGUAGUAGUAGUAGUAGUAGUAGUAGUAGUAGUAGUAGGCUCUGUGAGUCUCUGGGCUUUGUGGAGACAUACAGGUGGUGUGAUGUGGUCCAAAAUGUUUUCGGGGGGGGGGCUUCCAUGCUCUCUCUUUCUCCCCCUUUCCUGUCCUCCCUCAGUUCCCCAGGUUUAUACUAUACCACCCAGGAUCAACUCUUGAGUUGAUGAUUCUGUAUGAGGUAGAAAUGCAAGACACUGUAAGACAUUAAAUCAUCUGGAUGUUGUGGAGCAAACUGGCUAGAUAUUCUGUAGUGAAGUAAUGUUAACGUUGACAAAGAAAAUGGUAUUUGUUAUUAAAAGAAGGAGUGGGCUAGUGAGAAUGACAAUGUUGGUUUUUAUGGUAAUUCCCUGUAGUAACUGUUAUUAACUGUUGUAAGGAAAACACAAUAUGACAAUGACAGAAUUCUGUAUGUGGCACAAUAAAGUUCUCUAUUAUGAAUUUAAA